CAGCAGCCACGGUAAUACGGAGGGUGCAAGCGUUAAUCGGAAUUACUGGGCGUAAAGCGCACGCAGGCGGUUUGUUAAGUCAGAUGUGAAAUCCCCGAGCUUAACUUGGGAACUGCAUUUGAAACUGGCAAGCUAGAGUCUUGUAGAGGGGGGUAGAAUUCCAGGUGUAGCGGUGAAAUGCGUAGAGAUCUGGAGGAAUACCGGUGGCGGAGGCGGCCCCCUGGACAAAGACUGACGCUCAGGUGCGAAAGCGUGGGGAGCAAACAGGAUUAGAUACCCCAGUAGUCCCUGUCUCUUAUAC
This 301-nucleotide ribosomal RNA is filed under the name uncultured bacterium. Its description in RNAcentral is "partial 16S ribosomal RNA". It matches the Rfam family "Bacterial small subunit ribosomal RNA", at positions 509 to 807 of the family's 1533-position model. The record is from RNAcentral.